ACAAAAAAAUUUAAUUAAUUUUAAUUAAUUAACAUUAAGCGGAAAUGUUACUUAUCUCAAAAAUAUCAACCAUUCGAUAAUCUAAGCACCUCACUAAAGUUCCUUGGGCCCUAGUAGUCCAAAAUUACAUGAAGGUAUAAAAUUAAUGGCACGAUAAUAUUUUAGAAUAAAUUUAUAAAUAUUCCCAAAAUUUCCAAAUUUUUUUAAAAAAAUUUUAAAAUUCUAAAAUCUCAAUCUCUACACUAAUUAUCAUAAUAACAGAGAAUUUGAGCCACUAAUCUUUUUUUUUAUAUUCCAUUGUAGGUGGGAGAUGAGAGUUGGCACGAUAUAGGCUUCUCUAAGUCUAGCUAGAAAAGG
RNAcentral lists this long non-coding RNA (357 nucleotides) under Phoenix dactylifera (date palm). Its description in RNAcentral is "long non-coding RNA (PDAC_LNC005928)". The record is from RNAcentral. Lineage: Eukaryota; Viridiplantae; Streptophyta; Magnoliopsida; Arecales; Arecaceae.